CCUACGGGAGGCAGCAGUGAGGAAUAUUGGUCAAUGGGCGCGAGCCUGAACCAGCCAAGUAGCGUGAAGGAUGACUGCCCUACGGGUUGUAAACUUCUUUUAUAAAGGAAUAAAGUGAGGCACGUGUGCCUUUUUGUAUGUACUUUAUGAAUAAGGAUCGGCUAACUCCGUGCCAGCAGCCGCGGUAAUACGGAGGAUCCGAGCGUUAUCCGGAUUUAUUGGGUUUAAAGGGAGCGUAGAUGGGUUGUUAAGUCCGUUGGGAAAGUUUGCGGGUCAAACGUAAGAUUGCAGUUGAUACUGGCAGUCUUGAGUACAGUUGAGGUAGGUGGAAGUCGUGGUGUAGCGGUGAAAUGCAUAGAUAUCACGAAGAACUCCGAUUGCGAAGGCAGCUUACUAAACUGCCACUGACGUUGAUGCUCGAAAGUGUGGGGAUCAAACAGGAUUAGAUACCCUUGUAGUC
RNAcentral lists this ribosomal RNA (460 nucleotides) under uncultured bacterium. Its description in RNAcentral is "partial 16S ribosomal RNA". It matches the Rfam family "Bacterial small subunit ribosomal RNA", at positions 338 to 795 of the family's 1533-position model. The record is from RNAcentral.